GAUCAUGGCUCAGGAUGAACGCUGGCGGCGUGCUUAACACAUGCAAGUCGAACGAAGCACCUUGAUUUGAUUCUUCGGAUGAAGAUCUUGGUGACUGAGUGGCGGACGGGUGAGUAACGCGUGGGUAACCUGCCUCAUACAGGGGGAUAACAGUUAGAAAUGACUGCUAAUACCGCAUAAGACCACAGCACCGCAUGGUGCAGGGUAAAACUACCGGUGGUAUGAGAUGGACCCGG
Molecule: ribosomal RNA, 236 nt
Filed under: uncultured bacterium
Lineage: Bacteria
Description: partial 16S ribosomal RNA
Rfam family: Bacterial small subunit ribosomal RNA
Source: RNAcentral